This 197-nucleotide unclassified non-coding RNA is filed under the name plant metagenome. RNAcentral's name for it is "partial contains small subunit ribosomal RNA, internal transcribed spacer 1, and 5.8S ribosomal RNA". The record is from RNAcentral.
UCUCCGUUGGUGAACCAGCGGAGGGAUCAUUACCGAGUGCAAACUCAUAACCCUUUGUGAACCUAUAUCUGUUGCUUCGUCGGCUCGCUCUCGGGCGAGCCCGCCGGUAAUAUCAGUAUCUCUGUUUGAACCCGACGAUACUUCUGAGUGUUCUUAGCGAACAGUUAAAACUUUUAACAACGGAUCUCUUGGCUCUA